CUAGGGUAAAACUGGUAACUGGGGCUAAGUCGUAACAAGGUAGCCGUACCGGAAGGUGUGGCUGGAAUACCUCCUUU
RNAcentral lists this ribosomal RNA (77 nucleotides) under Bacteroidales bacterium. RNAcentral describes it as "partial 16S ribosomal RNA". It matches the Rfam family "Bacterial small subunit ribosomal RNA", at positions 1457 to 1533 of the family's 1533-position model. The record is from RNAcentral. Lineage: Bacteria; Pseudomonadati; Bacteroidota; Bacteroidia; Bacteroidales.